This 1091-nucleotide ribosomal RNA is filed under the name Pseudomonas aeruginosa. Its description in RNAcentral is "bacterial LSU rRNA". It matches the Rfam family "Bacterial large subunit ribosomal RNA", at positions 1241 to 2316 of the family's 2925-position model. The record is from RNAcentral. Lineage: Bacteria; Pseudomonadati; Pseudomonadota; Gammaproteobacteria; Pseudomonadales; Pseudomonadaceae.
CUGUAAGCCUGUGAAGGUGAGUUGAGAAGCUUGCUGGAGGUAUCAGAAGUGCGAAUGCUGACAUGAGUAACGACAAUGGGUGUGAAAAACACCCACGCCGAAAGACCAAGGGUUCCUGCGCAACGUUAAUCGACGCAGGGUUAGUCGGUUCCUAAGGCGAGGCUGAAAAGCGUAGUCGAUGGGAAACAGGUUAAUAUUCCUGUACUUCUGGUUACUGCGAUGGAGGGACGGAGAAGGCUAGGCCAGCUUGGCGUUGGUUGUCCAAGUUUAAGGUGGUAGGCUGAAAUCUUAGGUAAAUCCGGGGUUUCAAGGCCGAGAGCUGAUGACGAGUCGUCUUUUAGAUGACGAAGUGGUUGAUGCCAUGCUUCCAAGAAAAGCUUCUAAGCUUCAGGUAACCAGGAACCGUACCCCAAACCGACACAGGUGGUCGGGUAGAGAAUACCAAGGCGCUUGAGAGAACUCGGGUGAAGGAACUAGGCAAAAUGGCACCGUAACUUCGGGAGAAGGUGCGCCGGCUAGGGUGAAGGAUUUACUCCGUAAGCCCUGGCUGGUCGAAGAUACCAGGCCGCUGCGACUGUUUAUUAAAAACACAGCACUCUGCAAACACGAAAGUGGACGUAUAGGGUGUGACGCCUGCCCGGUGCCGGAAGGUUAAUUGAUGGGGUUAGCGCAAGCGAAGCUCUUGAUCGAAGCCCCGGUAAACGGCGGCCGUAACUAUAACGGUCCUAAGGUAGCGAAAUUCCUUGUCGGGUAAGUUCCGACCUGCACGAAUGGCGUAACGAUGGCGGCGCUGUCUCCACCCGAGACUCAGUGAAAUUGAAAUCGCUGUGAAGAUGCAGUGUAUCCGCGGCUAGACGGAAAGACCCCGUGAACCUUUACUGUAGCUUUGCACUGGACUUUGAGCCUGCUUGUGUAGGAUAGGUGGGAGGCUUUGAAGCGUGGACGCCAGUUCGCGUGGAGCCAUCCUUGAAAUACCACCCUGGCAUGCUUGAGGUUCUAACUCUGGUCCGUGAUCCGGAUCGAGGACAGUGUAUGGUGGGCAGUUUGACUGGGGCGGUCUCCUCCUAAAGAGUAACGGAGGAGUACGAAGG